This 483-nucleotide unclassified non-coding RNA is filed under the name Hevea brasiliensis (rubber tree). Lineage: Eukaryota; Viridiplantae; Streptophyta; Magnoliopsida; Malpighiales; Euphorbiaceae. The record is from RNAcentral.
GAGAGAGAGAGAGAGAGAGGAGAGUGAUGUUUUUAUGUGAGAAUAUUAAAGUAAAUUUACCCAUUUGUAUGGAAAAGAGAAUUCAUAGAAUAAUCUUAUUUAUGGAUGAUGUCAUGCCAAAGGAGAGAAUGCAAAUAACGAGGAUUGUACUGGUGUCUAGGUUUAUCAAAAGUAAAUGGAAAAAUGGCUUACUGCCAACAUUGAAGUUAGCAAAUCAUGUAGUAAAACAUUGAAGUAUAUUGAGCUACUUUUCCAUGAAUUGAAUUUCCUAAGACACCUAUGUUAAGAAAGGGAAGAUAAUAAAAUACAACUGCCUGUCAUACGAACAAAUUGUAAGAGCUUUUUUCCCCUUAGUUGAUUAUCAUGGUGUUUUGACUUCAUUUAUAAACAUUAAUUGGUCAGCUUUUUAGUGUGCAUGAAAUUUGUAUUGAUGUACUUUUUCUUUUUUCCUUCAAACUUCCAGGUGAGCUUGGGCAAGAAAGC